This is a non-coding RNA of Phascolarctos cinereus (koala), 4001 nucleotides long. NCBI's taxonomy places the organism in Eukaryota, Metazoa, Chordata, Mammalia, Diprotodontia, Phascolarctidae. The record is from RefSeq and is a predicted model, not a curated record.
GAAAAAUAAAUAAUUUAGAAAAGAGAAUAGGAAAUCUUACCCUUGAAAUGGAGUCCCUGAAAACUAGAAUAGACCAAAGAGAAAUUGGGGCACAAUGAAACAACAAAAAAUAUUAGAACAAAAUGAAAAUAUUGGGAAAAAUGGAAGAAAAUACAAGUUACAUAAGUUAUUCGGUGUCAAAUACAAAUGACCUGGAAAACAGGUCAAAGAGACAUAAUUUAAGAAUCAAUGCACACCCUAAAAACUUUGAUUUUUAAAGUUUUAAAAAGCUAAAACACUACGUGUCAAGAAAUCAUCAAUGAAAUCUGCCUAGAACCAGAAAACAAAGUGAAGACAGACUCUAUUAAUCAUCUCCUGAAAGAAACUCCAAAAGGAAAAGUUCUGGGAAUAUCAGAAAGAAAAUCCUUAGCUCCCACUUCAAAGAAAAAAAUACUCUAGGCACUCAGAAAGAAACACUUCAUGUAACAACAAACAGGAUUACACAACACCUAGCAGGCUUCUUUUAUUAAUAAAGAUCUUAGAAUACAUGUUUCCAAAAGGAUACCAGAAUAAUUUAGUCUGAGAAACAGAUUAUAAUUCUAUAAGGGGGAAAAAGUGGACUUUUAUUGGUAUAGAGAACUUUCAAGAAUUUCUGGUGUAAAGAACAGAGCUAAGCGGACCUCUAAAAUACAAAUACUGCAGAGAAACCUAGAAAAGGUAAAAUUAUUUGAGCAACUGGAAGGGGUUAUAUGAUGGUGUAGAACUAACAUUCUGAUAGAAGGAGGGAAAAAACAAAUGUCCUUUCAGAACCACAAUGACUUCAAAGGGUAUUAUUGAGGGAGUCAAAUAAGAAAAAUAGAGGUCCUGAUGUUUGACUGUUCCUGUUUGGGCAGGAGGGGGUUUAAAGAGGGAAAAGAAAAGGUUGGGUAAAAAGGGGAAUAUACUAGUGUAGAAAAAAAAGAAAAGAGGGUAAUUUGCUGUUUUUUAUACUUGGAGUAAGUUGAGCAGGCAUUAGAUAAACCUCUACAGAGGAUGAGAUAGAGAAAACAGGCAUUAGAUAAACCUCAUUCUUACCAAAACCAGGUAAGAUUCCCCCCACCCCCACAAAAUCUCAUGUGGAAAUACAUCAAAUGGAACAGCAAAACAAGAGAUCAUGUUGGAAGGAUGGAUGAUCCCGUAAGAGAAUAGUCACAAGCAAAAUAAACUUCCUGAUCCUGAAGGGAGAACAGAGAAGGGGACAGGAGGGUGAGGGAAGAGAAAGAACUAAGAGUGCUUUAGAUUGGUUCUUGAACAACAGGGGAAUGAGCGAACAAAUUGUGAUAUAUACAUGUAAGGGAUUAUUAUUGUGCCAUAAGAAAUGAUUAAAGACUAUUUCAGAGAAUCCUAGUUAGCAUGAACUGAUGCAGAGUGAAGUGGGCAGAACCAGGAGAAUAAUUUAUGCAAGGAGAACACUGCAGACACAAAAAGAUUUAAGAACUCUGAUGAAAGCAUUAACCAAUCAUGUUUCCUGGAGGAUCUAUGAUAAAAGGCAAGUUACCCACUUCCUGAGAGAGAGGGGAUAUUCACACCAGGUGUAGAAAGAGGCAUACGAUUUAGGACAUUAUGGCCGCUGCGUGAAUCUGUUUUGCUUGAUGAUGCUUAUUUGUUAUAAGGAGUUUUUCCUCCCCUUUCUUUCUCUUAGUUAAUAAUAAGAGGGGUAGGGUCACAGGGAAAGGGAUGUUGUCAAUAGUGAUUUCCCUCAAAAGAGAGACAUUGCAAUGUAUCUUCAAAUACCCAGAAGAGAGGAAGUUCAAAAGUAAACAGGAUAGUUUUGAAAGCAACAUGUGGAAUUUGCUGUUUGUUUUUUAAAGCAAAAGUUUUUAAAUGAAAAUUCACGGUUUUAUAUGGAAUCCACAUUUUCUCUUCUGCUUUGUGUAUGCAAAUGCAUUUUUUUUUGGUGUUUAAGUUCACAGGAAAGAAAUGGAAAGUUAAAAAGAGGGCAAGUGAAGAAAAGAAAGUUCUGAAAGAAAAACAGUUUUGAAAUUAUGUACAGAAUUUAUCCUAUGCUUUUUAAAUUUUGAAAUUAUGUGUAGAACUUAUAAUGUGCUUUUUAAAAAAGCAAGCUGGUAUGACAUAGAUUCAUAGCUUCACAUAAAAUCUGUCCUGUGUAUAGAAAUUUAUUUUUUGGUGUUUAAGUUUAGAUUAAAAAUAAAAUUUUAAAUUAAAAAAUGACCAUAGGAGAACAGGAGGAAGUAGACAAGGUGUUUUGAAAGUAACAUGUGGAUAUUUAUAAUGGGUUUUAUUUUUUUUUCUUUGUCAAUGAAUAGGGGAGAGGGAAGUAGAUGGGACAGAAUUCUUAAGUGAAAAUUUAGUGAAAAUUUUAAAGUAUUACAUAUUUUUUAAAAAGUCUAGUUGUGAAAUGGAGAUUCAAAGUUUCAUUAAAAAAUCAUUUUUGUGUUCUGAUGUGUAUACAGAAAGGCUCCUUUUUUGUGUUAAAGUUCAGAAUUUAAAAAUUAAACUAAAAAAAACCUCUAGUACUCAGAGAAUAAAAAAAAAUUAGGAAUCAAUAAACAAGGUGGGCAUCAAAUACCAUUUUUGACAAAAGAAACUGACUUAUGAUCUCUGACUUGUGACCAACUCUGCUGUAUUACUAAAUUUCAGAAAAGCCCCAGCCAUGCUUCAUUUCAUCCCCUCCUCUCUGACAACCUCAUAAUCCUCCACCUCUUCGUUGACAAACUCCUUAUCUCUGAGGACAUAUUCUCUCUUCAACCUCCCAUUUUGGAACCAUGAACUGCAGCUCUCCCUAAAAUUUUGACUAGGGGGUAAAGUGUAUUAGGAAUGAUUUCCUAACCCCUCCUUCACUUGCCCCAGGCAGGUUAGGCUUGUGUUCUAUUAGGCUGCACAGCUUGAGUUAGAGCAAGGACAUUAGGUAUGAGUAUUUACAGGAAAUGGUUACUCAGGAAGCUCUACCCACUGGUUAAAAGCUUUUCAAGCUCUUCUAAAGCAGACGUGUCAAAUUUAUGGCCCCCCAAACUCUUCAAUGAACCUGCACCAGAUUAAAAGGCAGCACCUAUCAAAUACUUCAAGGCAUGUUUCCAUGUAAAUACAGAACUUGAGAAGACUGAAAAAUCUUUAAGACACCCCUUCUCCAAAAUGACUGCUGAGUGCCCCUCAAAAACAUAUUACAUGAGUGGCUGCCAAUCGAUAAGGCCCUAUCACCUACGGUGAGAGAGAUGCUGUACUGGUAUUUUUUUAUUUCUUUUAUAAUGUGAGAAAAAUCAAGCUAUACUAAAAAGUGUUGUAACUUUAGAAUCCAAAAGAAGACCUAGGAGAGAGAAAUUAGACAUAAACUUAGAAUAAAUGAAAUCUAGUGUUGUAUAAACAACUUCUCCUGAUUUCCUUUCUUAUUAGUUCUAGUUUUGAGGAGUGUCUGAGUUGAAUCUGAUAGUACAGCAAUCCGUGCUAACACUCCCUAAUAUCAAGGACAGCCCCCAAAUGGUCUACAAGCUAGUCUAGGCAAAAGAUAAGCUUCUUAAGGACAGGGCCUUUUUUUGUACUGUAUGUAACCUGAAUAUCCAGCAUGGCAACCUGCACAAAUAGGUACUUAAAAGUGGUGGUGGAAUUGACUGAUCUAACCUAAAUUCAUUCUAGAAUCAAUGCAAGAGGGAUGAGGGUCAUAUCAGUCUCUGAGUGUCUCAGCUUGGCAUACACAAAGUAGAUUAUAGAGGCAUCUUUCAUUACUAUAAAACAUGACAUGUAGCCCUUCUACCCCAGUAAGAUAUAAGCUCCUUGGGGACAGUAUUUUUAUUCCUUUCUCUUUAUAUAUUUAGCACUUCCAUCAAAAAGUCCUAACUCUAAUGUCUUACUGUAGGGUAAAGGCAGAAGUAUCCAAAUGUCCCCAUGCCUUAAAUACUUAAGUACUUGUGUCUUAAAUACAGGGGAUAGGGACCACCCGUAUGAAUUCAUCAGAACAAGGAACUAAUGAAUGAGGAAAUUCUAACAAUGCAGCUAUUCUCAGCAAUACAAUGAUCCAAGACAAUUCC